Molecule: ribosomal RNA, 468 nt
Filed under: uncultured bacterium
Lineage: Bacteria
Description: partial 16S ribosomal RNA
Rfam family: Bacterial small subunit ribosomal RNA
Source: RNAcentral
GACGAACGCUGGCGGCGUGCUUAACACAUGCAAGUCGAACGGAAAGGCCCUGCUUUUGUGGGGUGCUCGAGUGGCGAACGGGUGAGUAACACGUGAGUAACCUGCCCUUGACUUUGGGAUAACUUCAGGAAACUGGGGCUAAUACCGGAUAGGAGCUCCUGCUGCAUGGUGGGGGUUGGAAAGUUUCGGCGGUUGGGGAUGGACUCGCGGCUUAUCAGCUUGUUGGUGGGGUAGUGGCUUACCAAGGCUUUGACGGGUAGCCGGCCUGGGAGGGUGACCGGCCACAUUGGGACUGAGAUACGGCCCAGACUCCUACGGUAGGCAGCGGUGGGGAAUAUUGCACAGUGGCCGGAAGCGUGAUGCAGCAACGCCGCGUGCGGGAUGACGGCCUACGGGUUGUGAACCGCUUUCGCCUGUGACGAAGCGUGAGUGACGGUAAUGGGUAAAGAAGCACCGGCUAACUACGUG